Molecule: ribosomal RNA, 161 nt
Filed under: uncultured Parachlamydia sp.
Lineage: Bacteria; Pseudomonadati; Chlamydiota; Chlamydiia; Parachlamydiales; Parachlamydiaceae
Description: partial 16S ribosomal RNA
Rfam family: Bacterial small subunit ribosomal RNA
Source: RNAcentral
UGCAGUCGAGAUCAUUCGCAAUGGGCGAAAGCCUGACGAUGCGACGCCGUGUGAGCGAAGAAGGCCUUAGGGUCGUAAAGCUCUUUCGCUUGGGAACAAGAGAAGCUGACGAAUAAUCAGUGGAUUUGAGCGUACCAGGUAAAGAAGCACCGGCUAACUCC